This 417-nucleotide ribosomal RNA is filed under the name Bacillus licheniformis. RNAcentral describes it as "bacterial SSU rRNA". It matches the Rfam family "Bacterial small subunit ribosomal RNA", at positions 584 to 997 of the family's 1533-position model. The record is from RNAcentral. Lineage: Bacteria; Bacillati; Bacillota; Bacilli; Caryophanales; Bacillaceae.
UAAGUCUGAUGUGAAAUCCCCCGGCUCAACCUGGGAGCGUGCAUUGGAAACUGGGGAGACUUGAGUCUCGAAGAGGAGAGUGGAAUUCCACGUGUAGCGGUGAAAUGCGUAGAGAUGUGGAGGAACACCGGUGGCGAAGGCGACUCUCUGGACUAUAACUGACGCUCAGGAGCGAAAGCGUGGGGAGCGAACAGGAUUAGAUACCCUGGUAGUCCACGCCGUAAACGAUGACUGCUUGGAGGUUGGGCCCUUGAGGCCCGUAUUGCUGAGCUUAACGGAUUAGUCAAUCGGCCGGGGAAGUACGGCCCCAGGACUGAACUUCAAUGGAUUUGACGGGGGCCCCCACAAGCGGGGAACCUGGGGGUUUAUUUCAAGCCACCCCAAAAAACCUUACUGGGCCUGGACUUCCGAGGACUU